GCUCCGGUAGCUCAGUGGUAGAGCACUUCCUUGGUAAGGAAGGGGUCGAGGGUUCAAUUCCCUCCCGGAGCU
RNAcentral lists this transfer RNA (72 nucleotides) under Gemmatimonadota bacterium. RNAcentral describes it as "Gemmatimonadetes bacterium (freshwater metagenome) tRNA-Thr". It matches the Rfam family "tRNA". Rfam says of the family: Transfer RNA (tRNA) molecules are approximately 80 nucleotides in length. Their secondary structure includes four short double-helical elements and three loops (D, anti-codon, and T loops). Further hydrogen bonds mediate the characteristic L-shaped molecular structure. tRNAs have two regions of fundamental functional importance: the anti-codon, which is responsible for specific mRNA codon recognition, and the 3' end, to which the tRNAs corresponding amino acid is attached (by aminoacyl-tRNA synthetases). tRNAs cope with the degeneracy of the genetic code in two manners: having more than one tRNA (with a specific anti-codon) for a particular amino acid; and 'wobble' base-pairing, i.e. permitting non-standard base-pairing at the 3rd anti-codon position. Lineage: Bacteria; Pseudomonadati; Gemmatimonadota. The record is from RNAcentral.